CCUACGGGAGGCAGCAGUGAGGAAUAUUGGUCAAUGGCCGGAAGGCUGAACCAGCCAUGCCGCGUGAAGGUCAGUGCCCUAUGGGCGUUAAACUUCUUUUGUGCGGGAGCAAUAAUGGUCACGUGUGGCCAGACGAGAGUACCGUACGAAUAAGCAUCGGCUAACUCCGUGCCAGCAGCCGCGGUAAUACGGGAGAUGCAAGCGUUAUCCGGAUUUAUUGGGGUUAAAGGGUGCAUAUGCUGUGAGGUAAGUCAGCGGUGCAAUGCCCCCGUUCAACGGGGUGAAGUGCCAUUGAUACUGUGUGGCUGGAGUGCGGAUGAGGUAGGAGGAAUGUGUGGUGUAGCGGUGAAAUGCAUAGAUAUCACACAGAACACCGAUUGCGAAGGCAUCUCACGAAUCCGUGAUUGACGCUGAUGCACGAAAGCGUGGGUAUCAAACAGGAUUAGAUACCCUAGUAGUC
Molecule: ribosomal RNA, 460 nt
Filed under: uncultured bacterium
Lineage: Bacteria
Description: partial 16S ribosomal RNA
Rfam family: Bacterial small subunit ribosomal RNA
Source: RNAcentral